This 2902-nucleotide ribosomal RNA is filed under the name Escherichia coli. RNAcentral describes it as "bacterial LSU rRNA". It matches the Rfam family "Bacterial large subunit ribosomal RNA". RNAcentral also lists the same sequence under 1 other name. Lineage: Bacteria; Pseudomonadati; Pseudomonadota; Gammaproteobacteria; Enterobacterales; Enterobacteriaceae. The record is from RNAcentral.
UUAAGCGACUAAGCGUACACGGUGGAUGCCCUGGCAGUCAGAGGCGAUGAAGGACGUGCUAAUCUGCGAUAAGCGUCGGUGAGGUGAUAUGAACCGUUAUAACCGGCGAUUUCCGAAUGGGGAAACCCAGUGUGUUUCGACACACUAUCAUUAACUGAAUCCAUAGGUUAAUGAGGCGAACCGGGGGAACUGAAACAUCUAAGUACCCCGAGGAAAAGAAAUCAACCGAGAUUCCCCCAGUAGCGGCGAGCGAACGGGGAGGAGCCCAGAGCCUGAAUCAGUGUGUGUGUUAGUGGAAGCGUCUGGAAAGGCGCGCGAUACAGGGUGACAGCCCCGUACACAAAAAUGCACAUAUUGUGAGCUCGAUGAGUAGGGCGGGACACGUGGUAUCCUGUCUGAAUAUGGGGGGACCAUCCUCCAAGGCUAAAUACUCCUGACUGACCGAUAGUGAACCAGUACCGUGAGGGAAAGGCGAAAAGAACCCCGGCGAGGGGAGUGAAAAAGAACCUGAAACCGUGUACGUACAAGCAGUGGGAGCCUCUUAAUGGGGUGACUGCGUACCUUUUGUAUAAUGGGUCAGCGACUUAUAUUCUGUAGCAAGGUUAACCGAAUAGGGGAGCCGAAGGGAAACCGAGUCUUAACUGGGCGUUAAGUUGCAGGGUAUAGACCCGAAACCCGGUGAUCUAGCCAUGGGCAGGUUGAAGGUUGGGUAACACUAACUGGAGGACCGAACCGACUAAUGUUGAAAAAUUAGCGGAUGACUUGUGGCUGGGGGUGAAAGGCCAAUCAAACCGGGAGAUAGCUGGUUCUCCCCGAAAGCUAUUUAGGUAGCGCCUCGUGAAUUCAUCUCCGGGGGUAGAGCACUGUUUCGGCAAGGGGGUCAUCCCGACUUACCAACCCGAUGCAAACUGCGAAUACCGGAGAAUGUUAUCACGGGAGACACACGGCGGGUGCUAACGUCCGUCGUGAAGAGGGAAACAACCCAGACCGCCAGCUAAGGUCCCAAAGUCAUGGUUAAGUGGGAAACGAUGUGGGAAGGCCCAGACAGCCAGGAUGUUGGCUUAGAAGCAGCCAUCAUUUAAAGAAAGCGUAAUAGCUCACUGGUCGAGUCGGCCUGCGCGGAAGAUGUAACGGGGCUAAACCAUGCACCGAAGCUGCGGCAGCGACACUAUGUGUUGUUGGGUAGGGGAGCGUUCUGUAAGCCUGUGAAGGUGGCCUGUGAGGGAUGCUGGAGGUAUCAGAAGUGCGAAUGCUGACAUAAGUAACGAUAAAGCGGGUGAAAAGCCCGCUCGCCGGAAGACCAAGGGUUCCUGUCCAACGUUAAUCGGGGCAGGGUGAGUCGACCCCUAAGGCGAGGCCGAAAGGCGUAGUCGAUGGGAAACAGGUUAAUAUUCCUGUACUUGGUGUUACUGCGAAGGGGGGACGGAGAAGGCUAUGUUGGCCGGGCGACGGUUGUCCCGGUUUAAGCGUGUAGGCUGGUUUUCCAGGCAAAUCCGGAAAAUCAAGGCUGAGGCGUGAUGACGAGGCACUACGGUGCUGAAGCGACAAAUGCCCUGCUUCCAGGAAAAGCCUCUAAGCAUCAGGUAACAUCAAAUCGUACCCCAAACCGACACAGGUGGUCAGGUAGAGAAUACCAAGGCGCUUGAGAGAACUCGGGUGAAGGAACUAGGCAAAAUGGUGCCGUAACUUCGGGAGAAGGCACGCUGAUAUGUAGGUGAAGCGACUUGCUCGUGGAGCUGAAAUCAGUCGAAGAUACCAGCUGGCUGCAACUGUUUAUUAAAAACACAGCACUGUGCAAACACGAAAGUGGACGUAUACGGUGUGACGCCUGCCCGGUGCCGGAAGGUUAAUUGAUGGGGUUAGCGGUAACGCGAAGCUCUUGAUCGAAGCCCCGGUAAACGGCGGCCGUAACUAUAACGGUCCUAAGGUAGCGAAAUUCCUUGUCGGGUAAGUUCCGACCUGCACGAAUGGCGUAAUGAUGGCCAGGCUGUCUCCACCCGAGACUCAGUGAAAUUGAACUCGCUGUGAAGAUGCAGUGUACCCGCGGCAAGACGGAAAGACCCCGUGAACCUUUACUAUAGCUUGACACUGAACAUUGAGCCUUGAUGUGUAGGAUAGGUGGGAGGCUUUGAAGUGUGGACGCCAGUCUGCAUGGAGCCGACCUUGAAAUACCACCCUUUAAUGUUUGAUGUUCUAACGUGGGCCCCUUACCGGGGUUGCGGACAGUGUCUGGUGGGUAGUUUGACUGGGGCGGUCUCCUCCUAAAGAGUAACGGAGGAGCACGAAGGUUGGCUAAUCCUGGUCGGACAUCAGGAGGUUAGUGCAAUGGCAUAAGCCAGCUUGACUGCGAGCGUGACGGCGCGAGCAGGUGCGAAAGCAGGUCAUAGUGAUCCGGUGGUUCUGAAUGGAAGGGCCAUCGCUCAACGGAUAAAAGGUACUCCGGGGAUAACAGGCUGAUACCGCCCAAGAGUUCAUAUCGACGGCGGUGUUUGGCACCUCGAUGUCGGCUCAUCACAUCCUGGGGCUGAAGUAGGUCCCAAGGGUAUGGCUGUUCGCCAUUUAAAGUGGUACGCGAGCUGGGUUUAGAACGUCGUGAGACAGUUCGGUCCCUAUCUGCCGUGGGCGCUGGAGAACUGAGGGGGGCUGCUCCUAGUACGAGAGGACCGGAGUGGACGCAUCACUGGUGUUCGGGUUGUCAUGCCAAUGGCACUGCCCGGUAGCUAAAUGCGGAAGAGAUAAGUGCUGAAAGCAUCUAAGCACGAAACUUGCCCCGAGAUGAGUUCUCCCUGACUCCUUGAGAGUCCUGAAGGAACGUUGAAGACGACGACGUUGAUAGGCCGGGUGUGUAAGCGCAGCGAUGCGUUGAGCUAACCGGUACUAAUGAACCGUGAGGCUUAACCUU